Mus musculus (house mouse) is the source of this 929-nucleotide long non-coding RNA. RefSeq annotates it as predicted gene, 46055. Lineage: Eukaryota; Metazoa; Chordata; Mammalia; Rodentia; Muridae. The transcript is spliced from 2 exons. The record is from RefSeq and is a predicted model, not a curated record.
ACAAGGCAGCCCAGAUACACUUAGGAAACCAUGGUGCCUGAAGGCAUGUGAAAUCUCGCUCCGGGAGACAAGCUGCUCCUAGGGCUUAAGCCAUUUCUUUCCCUAGUGUUACUGGCUGGGUUUGUUGGCUGCCUGGGCCCUGGCAGCCCUAAAGUUUCCUUGCCCCGGAGAAAACAUUCUACCUGUGCAAUCCUACUCUUUGCAAAGAGCUGGGAGACCACCCCUCCCCCAAGGACCCACCCAGGAACCGGAGGGUCUGUGUCCUAAUUUGCUUUGUGUUGCUUUGAGAAACAUCCCGGUAAAAAAACGAGUUGGGGUGGGAAGGGUUUAUUUGAUUCACACUUCCAGAUCACUGGCCAUGGGGGUGGAGGGGUAGAGUCUGGGAAGGAACUCAAGCAGGAACCGGAACCGGAACCGGAACCGGAAACUACAGAGAAGGGGGAAGGCUCCUUAUUGGCUGGCUACUGUUCAGCCAGCUUUCUCAUACAACCUGGGGUUCCCUGUCUAGGGAUGGUGCCGCCCACAGUGGGUUGGGCCCUCCUAUAUAAAUUAGCAAUCAAGAAAAACGCCUUUAUGGUCAUGUCAAUUGGCCCAUCUGAUCAAGGCAAAUUCCUCAGUUGAGACUAAGACUCUCUUAGAGUCUCUGGGCUUUGUCAAGUUGACAGCUGAAGCUAACUAGAAGAGUCUCAAAAACCGAAAUAGGAGCCAUCUGUUAAGGAAGGUAGCUGAAGAGCUUGACCCUGGAACUAGACGGCUGCCUAAGAGUCACCUUUGUACCUGCUGCCCCAUCUCAAGGGUCGCAGCCUCCAGAGCGUCUCUGCUUCUGUUGGGAAUGAUAAUUCAGAGAUCCAGGAAGGCUGAGGAUGGACAGGCAACCUUCAAGACCGUGCCCCUGACAUUUACAUAAAAAGCCAAUGUUCUUUCUAGUA